Molecule: ribosomal RNA, 275 nt
Filed under: uncultured prokaryote
Description: partial 16S ribosomal RNA
Rfam family: Bacterial small subunit ribosomal RNA
Source: RNAcentral
UACGUAGGUGGCAAGCGUUGUCCGGAUUUACUGGGCGUAAAGGGAGCGUAGGCGGAUUUUUAAGUGAGAUGUGAAAUACCCGGGCUUAACUUGGGUGCUGCAUUUCAAACUGGAAGUCUAGAGUGCAGGAGAGGAGAAGGGAAUUCCUAGUGUAGCGGUGAAAUGCGUAGAGAUUAGGAGGAACACCAGUUGCGAAGGCGGCUCUCUGGACUGUAACUGACACUGAGGCACGAAAGCGUGGGGAGCAAACAGGAUUAGAUACCCGUGUAGUCCCU